This 1342-nucleotide ribosomal RNA is filed under the name uncultured bacterium. RNAcentral's name for it is "bacterial SSU rRNA". It matches the Rfam family "Bacterial small subunit ribosomal RNA", at positions 40 to 1398 of the family's 1533-position model. The record is from RNAcentral.
CGGCGUGCUUAACACAUGCAAGUCGAACGGAAAGGCCCUUCGGGGUACUCGAGUGGCGAACGGGUGAGUAACACGUGGGUGAUCUGCCCUGCACUUUGGGAUAAGCCUGGGAAACUGGGUCUAAUACCGAAUAGGAUCAUGCUCUUCAUGGGGUGUGGUGGAAAGCUUUUGCGGUGUGGGAUGGGCCCGCGGCCUAUCAGCUUGUUGGUGGGGUAAUGGCCUACCAAGGCGACGACGGGUAGCCGGCCUGAGAGGGUGACCGGCCACACUGGGACUGAGAUACGGCCCAGACUCCUACGGGAGGCAGCAGUGGGGAAUAUUGCACAAUGGGCGCAAGCCUGAUGCAGCGACGCCGCGUGAGGGAUGACGGCCUUCGGGUUGUAAACCUCUUUCACCAGGGACGAAGCGCAAGUGACGGUACCUGGAGAAGAAGCACCGGCCAACUACGUGCCAGCAGCCGCGGUAAUACGUAGGGUGCGAGCGUUGUCCGGAAUUACUGGGCGUAAAGAGCUCGUAGGUGGUUUGUCGCGUUGUUCGUGAAAACUCACAACUCAAUUGUGGGCGUGCGGGCGAUACGGGCAGACUAGAGUACUGCAGGGGAGACUGGAAUUCCUGGUGUAGCGGUGGAAUGCGCAGAUAUCAGGAGGAACACCGGUGGCGAAGGCGGGUCUCUGGGCAGUAACUGACGCUGAGGAGCGAAAGCGUGGGGAGCGAACAGGAUUAGAUACCCUGGUAGUCCACGCCGUAAACGGUGGGUACUAGGUGUGGGUUCCUUCCUUGGGAUCCGUGCCGUAGCUAACGCAUUAAGUACCCCGCCUGGGGAGUACGGCCGCAAGGCUAAAACUCAAAGGAAUUGACGGGGGCCCGCACAAGCGGCGGAGCAUGUGGAUUAAUUCGAUGCAACGCGAAGAACCUUACCUGGGUUUGACAUGCACAGGACGCCGGCAGAGAUGUCGGUUCCCUUGUGGCCUGUGUGCAGGUGGUGCAUGGCUGUCGUCAGCUCGUGUCGUGAGAUGUUGGGUUAAGUCCCGCAACGAGCGCAACCCUUGUCCUAUGUUGCCAGCGGGUUAUGCCGGGGACUCGUAGGAGACUGCCGGGGUCAACUCGGAGGAAGGUGGGGAUGACGUCAAGUCAUCAUGCCCCUUAUGUCCAGGGCUUCACACAUGCUACAAUGGCCGGUACAAAGGGCUGCGAUGCCGUGAGGUGGAGCGAAUCCUUUCAAAGCCGGUCUCAGUUCGGAUCGGGGUCUGCAACUCGACCCCGUGAAGUCGGAGUCGCUAGUAAUCGCAGAUCAGCAACGCUGCGGUGAAUACGUUCCCGGGCCUUGUACACACCGCCCGUC